CCUUGCUCUUUCCUUUGAAACUCUUACUUUGGGAGAAGGCAGCAGUUUUGCCAUGAGAACACUCCACAGCCCAAUGGCUAUGCUCUGUUUGGAGAUCUAUGAGGCUAGAAACUGAGGCCUCCAGUCAACAGCCGUAUCACAGUGAGCCAUCUUGGAAGCUGAUUUUGCAGUCCCAGGCAAAUCUUCAGAUUCCUUAGAUCCAAGGAGAAGGUGCCAGAACAUCAACAUGUGUGGGAGGAAAGAAGAUCUGUAAUUCUGCAGCACAAAGAGGAGAAAGUAUUUUUUUAUGUUAAUUCUAUUUUAAAC
RNAcentral lists this long non-coding RNA (306 nucleotides) under Mustela putorius furo (domestic ferret). Its description in RNAcentral is "lncRNA (ENSMPUG00000027811.1)". The record is from RNAcentral. Lineage: Eukaryota; Metazoa; Chordata; Mammalia; Carnivora; Mustelidae.